UAAGCGGACAGUGAAAUUGGGAGGCUCAACCUCUCACCCAUUGUCUGAACUGCUAAGCUAGAGGAUGAGAGAGGUUAUUGGAAUUCCCAGUGUAGGAGUGAAAUCCGUAGAUAUUGGGAGGAACACCGAUGGCGUAGGCAGAUAACUGGCUCAUUCCUGACACUAAAGGCACGAAAGCGUGGGAGCAAACGGGAUUAGAUACCCCGGUAGUCCACGCCGUAAACUAUGGAUGCUA
Molecule: ribosomal RNA, 235 nt
Filed under: uncultured Candidatus Saccharibacteria bacterium
Lineage: Bacteria; Candidatus Saccharimonadota
Description: partial 16S ribosomal RNA
Rfam family: Bacterial small subunit ribosomal RNA
Source: RNAcentral